AAGGAUCAUUAUAGAAAUUCAAAGGAUGUGCUGGCACCCCUCUUGGUGUGCAUGUGCACUCCAUAAAUCAUCCACGUCCACCUGUGCAUCCAAUGUAGAGCCCCAUUUAGGGACUCUAUGCAAUUUUUUGAUUCAUUCCUUUUUUGACAUUGCACGAAAAGAUGUUUGUAAUCUAAUACAACUUUCAACAAUGGAUCUCUUGGUUCUC
This 208-nucleotide unclassified non-coding RNA is filed under the name uncultured fungus. RNAcentral describes it as "partial contains 18S rRNA, ITS1, 5.8S rRNA, ITS2 and 28S rRNA". Lineage: Eukaryota; Fungi. The record is from RNAcentral.